Molecule: transfer RNA, 72 nt
Filed under: Caldifarciminota bacterium 4484_18
Lineage: Bacteria; Pseudomonadati; Caldifarciminota
Also listed under: 2 other names
Description: tRNA-Thr
Rfam family: tRNA
About the family: Transfer RNA (tRNA) molecules are approximately 80 nucleotides in length. Their secondary structure includes four short double-helical elements and three loops (D, anti-codon, and T loops).
Source: RNAcentral
GCUGGUGUAGCUCAGUGGUAGAGCAGGUGAUUUGUAAUCACCAGGUCGGGGGUUCGAAUCCCUCCACCAGCU